Long non-coding RNA from Halichondria panicea, 3270 nucleotides. RefSeq lists it as uncharacterized. The transcript has 4 exons. The record is from RefSeq and is a predicted model, not a curated record. Lineage: Eukaryota; Metazoa; Porifera; Demospongiae; Suberitida; Halichondriidae.
UUUCUCCCGCCCCCGUCCAAUCAGAGAAAAGGGAGUGGCUUGCGAGUCUAUUGCACAUGCGCAGUAGAUGCAGUGACCUCGUGGAGAAGUGAAAAAUGUUGUCUUUGUCUGUUCAGACACGUACACAGUGCGAUCAUAGAGAUUAAGACUGGAUGAUAAGAGGGCACCUCAGGGCAAUAUAACAAAGGCUGGCUCCAGGAUCUAGGACGCGCUUCUGAAAUCAACGAUUAAUGGAUCAGUUCCAAAGAUGAAGAGGAAGACCUUGAACCUUUCUUCCCAGGUCUAUAUCAAUGUCAGUCUAGAAGAGAAUAUCGAAGAGUGCCUGUGCUACCAUCGUCAAUUUAGAGAUUGAUCCUUGAUUGACCGAAAGAAGGCUGUGUAAUGUCCCAGUGUGACAGUCAACUGAUUGUGUACUGUACAACUGCCAUCAAUGUCUACACACUUUGUUUGCUUGGAACGCGGAGAGUAUACUCGUCUAUAAGUAAGAAAACAGCAAGUUAUUAUCAUUCUGACUGUGUCGGCAUAAUUAUUAAGUACCUGAAUUUGGACUUUGAAGUUUGUACAAUUUCUGUAUGAGAACUCUUUGUUCACCCCGUUUGAAACUUACGUGUGUAUCUUGGUUGAUUUACGUGAAUACAGAGGCAUUUUGGUAACGCCCCCAGUUCAUUACUUAUCUCCAAUUCUACCUUCUUGUCAAGGCAUCGGUAGUAAUUAUAGUGACUCUUUAACUACUAUACUGUACUGUUCUAUGGCAAUUGAACGCAUGCGAUAUAAUGUACGCAAAUAUCACACGUCACGUGAUGACUUCUAAAUUAAUACCUGACACCAUAGAUAAAAGAGAGAUAUCUACUUUCCCCUCGAAGCUAGCUAAAAGAGCCUUUUUAUGUGGAUAGAUUCUAUCUCCCUAUAUUAAAGAGUCUCCUCUGUACUUACUAAUCCAGCAACAGUUCUUGUCGCAAUCUCCUGAAUGUAUCCUGGAAACCCAUUGAAAAUGUACGAGAAGCUGGGAGUGUUGAACAUGCAUUGAAGGACAGCAUUCAUAUAGCCAUUUGACGCUAGGUUGGUAAAGCCUGGUGGAUAAGCUAUAUUGCCAUUGUACACCUCUCCUGGUUAACUGGCUUAGAGGCUUGGGUUUCGAAUUCCUCCUGAGAGGGUCAGGUUUCUUCCUGGAAAGACACAAUGGUUUCCUCUUGCUCAUGUUGGCCAGCUGAUAUACCUCUUCAAUGUUUAAAGUUCGCGUGCAGUUGGAGGUAAAUACGUGGGUAUGGUAUUAUUCGGACUUAUAUGUGAUUCCGUAAAAUACUGAGCCCAAAACUAGUGUUCAAGCUGGCGCUGUGCUAAUACAUGUACCUCUCGCCAUGUUUUUGCUUUCGCUCAAAAGUAUUAGAGUGUUAGUUUCUAUAAUGAAUUUUAUAUUAAAGUUAGCUUAUCUAUAUAAAGUCACUGAGAAGAAAAGACUUAUUUACAUGCAUUUAUUGUUGUUAUUGUAUUAUGUGGCUUACCAGGACCUCAAGAAAGACGAUCUGUAGUUCAAUAUCUAAGAAGAAAAGACCUGUGUACUUGCAUAUUGUUAUCUAUAUUGUUAUAUGGUAGUGUUUUGUGGCUUACCAGGCCCUCAAGACAAAGAUGAUUCUGCCAGGAGGAUCUGGAUCUGGAUCUUGGGUAUUAUUUUCAUGGGGAAUGAGCGCGCAUGCGCAUUACAUCCAUAGGAAUAAUUAAAGGGUGUGUCCUAGCUGUUUUAACAGAUAUUUUCUGAGUAUUGUAGCUAACAAAAAGCUAUGCUAUGAAAGAUUCUGAAGAGACUUCAACAGCCUUCAAUGUGAGUCAAACUAGCCAUAACUCGAGAAAGAAGCUUUAGUUUGCUAAUCCACGAAUCAAAAUCCAAGAGAACGUGGCUAGAAGCCUAUAGAAGCUGUUAGCUUUCGUCGCAUUGCAAUCGUUGAGCAGUUACAGCUGGAACAGACACACACACACACACACACAGUCAGCUUUACCGUAUCCCUCGUGCGGCUACGCCUCGAGGCAUAAUAAAAUUUGCUCAUGAAAAACCUUUGCGAACGAGCCGAAUCAGCAGAAAAUUUGACACUUUGUGAUCUAACUAUUGCAGGAUCGUGUGUAAAUACCAGUAAUAAUUUAGGUUUUGCGGAUUUUAUUGUUAUGAAUUGAUCAACCAUCGCAAAGUUGGCAAAUGUUUGAUACUCACAACACAUUCUAGUAAUUAUGGCUUUUUUCAGCAAUAUAAUUAUUAUGCCAAGUCGUUCAUUCAACAGUACUACUCUGCUCUCACGGACUACCCUUUGCAAGUGUGUGACACUGCUUGUGUGAAACCUGACCAAUAAUUUUUAGUUCCUGCCACGUGUAAUAAAUUGGUGCAGGGAGCAGGAAACAAACUGCAAAGGGAAGAGAGUAAUUGCAAAUAGCUCAUUAAUAUAUUUAUGAGAAAAUAAAACUCCACAUAGGAGCAUGCGCGCUGGAACCAUUGUGGGCCCUGAUAAAUUAUGUUCGGAAUAAUUUUAGCUCGAUUAAAAUUACAUUAUAAGGUGAAGAUUAUGGAUCAACUCAAGUCAGCAAGAGAAACAUAGUGUUCAAGCUGGCGCUGUGCUAAUGCCUCUCGCCAUGAUUUGCUUUCGCUCAAAAGUAUAGAAGAGGAAGUAUAGAAGAGGAAAAAGUGUAUAAAAUAAUCUGUCUAAAACUGACUUCAAUUGUAUAAUUAUGGUAUCAUUGUUGUGUUUAGUAGCUGCUUAUACCAGGACCUCAAGGAUCUAGGAAGCAACAAAGAAGAAGAUUUUGUUUUCAAUUAAUUAUAAGCGGAAGUGCAUAAUUUAGGUAUUUUCUGAGUUUUGUAGCUAACAAAAAGCUAGCACUUUAGUGCAAGGCUAACUCAUAUGUUGAAUAGAAAGUUUGUGCGGACAGAUGAUGCUAUGAAAGAUUCUAAAGAGAACUGCAACAGCCUUCAAUCACCCUCUUCAGUUCUCUGCGAGUGUGCAUGGACACUGCUUGUGUGAAUUAAUGUCUGGAGAACCUGGCCAAUUAGUCACAAGUGUUCCAAAUACAAUAUGCAUGGCCAUGCAGCUAUACUCUAUGCUAAGGGUGUUAUAGCAAUUUAUUUCAUGUGCUCCUGAUGUUUAUACCAAUUUAUUUAUGUUUUAUGCUCAAGUCCAUCAAAUCGCCUAUUAUUCCUCGCACAAUAUAACUAUAGCCUUACACGGCAGAUCCAGAGAGGGUUCUUUGGGUUCACCCCUGAGACAUAAGUGAGUGGGAGGCUUAAUA